This 396-nucleotide ribosomal RNA is filed under the name uncultured bacterium. Its description in RNAcentral is "partial 16S ribosomal RNA". It matches the Rfam family "Bacterial small subunit ribosomal RNA", at positions 523 to 918 of the family's 1533-position model. The record is from RNAcentral.
AUACGUAGGUGGCAAGCGUUAUCCGGAUUUACUGGGUGUAAAGGGCGCGUAGGCGGGGGUGCAAGUCAGAUGUGAAAUCUAUGGGCUUAACUCAUAAACUGCAUUUGAAACUGUAUCUCUUGAGUGCUGGAGAGGUAGACGGAAUUCCUUGUGUAGCGGUGAAAUGCGUAGAUCUAAGGGAGAACACCAGUGGCGAAGGCGGUCUCCCGGACAGUAACUGACGCUGAGGCGCGAAAGCGUGGGGAGCAAACAGGAGUAGAUACCCUGGUUGUCCACGCUGGAAACGAGGAAUACUAGGUGUGGGGGGACUGACCCUGUCCGUGCCGCAGUUAACACAAUAAGUAUUCCACCUGGGGAGUACGGCCGCAAGGUUGAAACUCAAAUGAAUUGACGGGG